Long non-coding RNA from Lontra canadensis (Northern American river otter), 366 nucleotides. RefSeq lists it as uncharacterized. The record is from RefSeq and is a predicted model, not a curated record. Lineage: Eukaryota; Metazoa; Chordata; Mammalia; Carnivora; Mustelidae. The transcript is spliced from 3 exons.
CCCAGACCAUCUCUAGGUCCAGGCUUAGUUCUCCCACGGGUGUGUGGUGACUGGAAGGGUUUCUGUUAUAGGGCUAGUAAAAGACUGGUCACAGUUUUAGAAGAAACCAAAGAGUGUGAUCUACAGUGCGAGCUGUGGACCCCGCAGUUCCAGGUUAGACCAGGAGCAGACGCUGACCUCACACUUCUGAUAGGUAAAAGUGAGAAGUGGUUUUUUACCUGAAGUUAGGGGCACAGUUCAUCUUGCUACCAUGAUGGCCACCAGCCCUGCCUCAGCAGAGAACGGUCAUGAAAAUAAUCAGGAACUCUGAACUUCUGAGCGUCUGAGACUUCAGCAAGCAAAAAAUCCUCCAUUUAUUUAACAUGG